Non-coding RNA from Echinostoma caproni, 45 nucleotides. The record is from Rfam. Lineage: Eukaryota; Metazoa; Platyhelminthes; Trematoda; Plagiorchiida; Echinostomatidae.
GAACUGCUGAUGUGUCCCAAACAGGAGGAAACAGCUGUCCAGUGC